Molecule: long non-coding RNA, 18903 nt
Filed under: Triticum aestivum (bread wheat)
Lineage: Eukaryota; Viridiplantae; Streptophyta; Magnoliopsida; Poales; Poaceae
Description: long non-coding RNA (TAES_LNC009286)
Source: RNAcentral
UUUUUUUUUUUUGGCCAGCCGGGCUGUGGGGGUAAUAUAUUCUGGGUUGUUUAAUUUUUUUAGUUGUUUUUAGAAUUCAUAACCGCAUUUUGAUCUUCACUGCGAUUAUUGUAUUGUACUAACAACUUGCAUACCUAGCUUCCUUUUUCUUAUAUAGCAUUGAAUUAUUGCGGUCUUGUAUUGCCUAGUGUUGACUUAAUCAAAUGGCACUAUGACAGUGACCCAACAUGACAAUCAUUCACAUAUCGGUUAAAGAAGGUUGGCACAAGAAUUUCCAUGGGAAUUUUUUGUGUGUCUUACUUGAGAUGACGGCUGGAGUUUGAUUGAUUCAACUGAAUAUGAGCUGGCGAAAGUAAAAUACAGCUGAAGGAAAACUUAUCCUGCUCACCAAGCUGCUCUUUAAAAUGUGGUCUUUGGCAAAGUCUUCACUUCGUUUCUCUCUACAUUUUCUUCUAAAAAUCAUUGAUCAUGCAAUUAUAUAGUAGUUUUUUGUAGGUUUCUAGUGGUCCAGGUUUAUGCUGAAAACUUUCUUUGUAAGGAAAAUAUCUAUUCGGCGCGAUUCCCGAUGCUUCCAGUGCUUAAUUGACCAGCUUAAAAAACAGAAGAAAAAAAGUGUGACCUUGAGUGAAAAGGACAGAUGAAUCAGCAUCCUGGCCGUCGAUCAAAUGGACGGCUGUGAUCAUCACCAUCCUAGUUGACUUUGCUAAAUUUUAUUCUGGUAGUGCUCCGCCUCUCACUCUCGGCCUGAAUAUUAUACUCCCGCCAAUUACUUCCUGCACAAGUGAAGGUCCCAACGAGAGAGACUAACAAUGUCGCAUAUGCUCUGGCCCAUCCCUGUAUAAAGUCGCCGCGAGAUCCAGCAGAAACCUUUUCCUGCUCCGGCCGCCAUUGCCGCGACCUUGCUCACCCUGCGCAAGCUUCUGCAUGUGCUUGCAUGGUGAAACUCUUCUCCACCUUGUCCAUCUCUUGAUGUUCAUCCCAAUCUAGAGUUCUAGACUAGAGCUCCUUGAUUCCAUUGCACCACCAAGGUUCUUGGGUUCUUUGUUUGUCCAUGGAGGGGGUGGAGGAGGCCAACCGGGCGGCCGUGGUGAGCUGCAAGAGGCUGGUCGCCCGCCUCUCGCUGUCCGCCGGCGACCCGUUCCGGCUCGCCGCCGUCGCGGCCGAGACCGAGGAGGCCGUGUCCCGGUUCAGCAAGGUGGUUAACAUCCUCGGCAACAGGGUUGGCCAUGCGAGGGCGAGGGUCGGCCGGAGGAGCUCGCCGGCGGGCGACCCGAUUGCGAGGUGCCUCCUCGAGUACCACCCUCCCCCGCCGGUGCCGUAUUGCCCACCUGCCAGUGCCCCCCAACUCCAUGGGAGUAGCAGUAGCACUCCUGCGCCGCCGCCGACGCCGCUGAAGCAGAUGCCGGUGCCGGUGGCGGCGGAGGCGGCUCCUUGUGCCGCCGGCAACGGCAAGGUCGUUGCACCGGCGGCCAAGGGUGCUGCGGACAGGGACAUGUUCUUCCAGACGCCGCUCCUGGAUUUGAGUGCGUGCAGCAGCGUUACUCCCGCCUCCAUUGCCGCCGCGCAGAUCAACGGCUCGAGAGUUUCCGCAGCUCCGGCGGCCAAGGGUGCAGACAGAGACAUGUUCUUCCAGACGCCGCUCCUGGAUUUGAGCGGGUGUAGCGUUACUCCCGCCUCCAUUGCCGCCGUGCAGAUCAACGGCUCGAGAGUUUCGGCAGCUCCGGCGGCCAAUCCUCCUCCUCCCCCUCCCCCUCCCCCUCCUCCUCAAAUCCAAUUCCACCAUCCGAUUCAGCAGCAGCAGCAGCAGCAGCAGCAGAAGAGGAUGCUCGAGCAGCAGCAGAAGCCGGCCAGCAGCGACAACAAGAGGUUCCACUUCGAGCCGAAGCCGGCGAGCGAGAAGCCGUUCCACAUCGAGAUCCCGGCGGCGAGGAGCGGCAAGGAGCCGGAGGUGAUCACCUUCAGCUUCGACAACUCGGUGUGCACCUCGUCGGCGGCCACCUCCUUCUUCACCAACAUGAGCAGCCAGCUGAUCAGCAUGUCGGAGACCUCCGCCUGCGCGCCGGCGUCCAGGAAGGCGGCGCACAAAGCCGACGACGACGGCAAAUGCCACUGCCCCAAGAAAAAGUCGGUGCCGAUUGCAUUCGCCAUUGAUUUAUUUAACUCGAUCUGUCGAUUGCGUGUGCCUUUACUUACAGUCGUGUGAUGUGUUGGUUUGCAGGAAGCCGAGGGAGAAGAGGGUGGUGAGGAUGCCGGCGGUGAGCGACAAGGUGGCCGAUAUACCUUCCGACAGCUACUCGUGGAGGAAGUACGGGCAGAAACCCAUCAAAGGCUCUCCACACCCAAGGUAUAUUAUGCUCCAAUCUUGGUUAAUUACUCUAUCUCUCUCUCUCUCAAGUUCAUUGUUAUGUAAUGUCACCAAAAUAUUAUCCUUGAAUGGAAGAAACUUGGAAAUGUCAGUAAGAAGUUGUGGGCAUGCAUCGUAGCCGUGUCGAUCUCAGCAUUCAUUGGGCGUGCAAGCAUGCAUUUGGUGCUGAGUGAGACAUUACAAUUGGAUCAUGUGGUAAUUAAUUCAGGCGGGUAUGAAGUAUGAACUUGUUGUUGAUUAAUUGCAGGGGAUACUACCGGUGCAGCAGCAUCAAGGACUGCCCGGCGAGGAAGCACGUGGAGCGGUGUCGCGGCGACGCCGGGAUGCUCAUCGUCACCUACGAGAACGACCACAACCACGCGCAGCCGCUCGACCUCGCCACGCUCACCGCCAACUCCGAAGCCUGCCGAGACCGCCGGUACCAGAAGAACUCUGAAUUUUUAUGCCAUGGAUGGAACAUGCCAUUCAGCCUGACCAAAUCUGAAUGCAAGUGAAAAUUGUAUGAGGAAGGCGAAGAUUUCGCCUGCGUCUUUCGCAAUGUAUAGUGAGCACUUGAUUGUCCUUUUGAAUUGUAUCCUAUCGAAAAAUCGCUCCGUGCAAAUGCUUGUUAAAUUUCCUUGUAGAACUAGUGCUAGCUUUGCUUGUUUUGUUUUCAGUGUAGCUUUGCUUGUUUAACCACGGUGCAGAAAUCACAAUUCAUGGUAUUGUCCAGCUUGUCACAUACGUAUGACCGUGCCUAAUGUUCUAGUAGACGUGCUGCUGUAUGAGCAACUCUAUCAAUCAAGACACCAAAGCUUGCAUUACAAUUACAGAAAGCCGGAAGCUAAAAACCUCAUCUGAGAAGUACUCCCUCUAGUGAUCUAAACGCUCUUAUAUUUCAUUACGGAGAGAGUACCUAACUAUGGUCGCAAAUCACAUGCUCAAAGCUUUUUUGAGCUUGACACAUGACAUGUCAUCUUUCCUAAUGUCAGAAACUAAAGGUUGCACAUAUUAUCAUCGCAGAAACUAAAAGCUCAUCUGAAGAGCUAUUCAGAAUUUCAGAUGCAGCUAUUCGACGAACUAACGUGAUGUUAAGCGUAUCUUAUGGACUUUAAUUGUGCGCAUCAACGACAACGCACGCACGCACGCUCGAGAGAUCAAGCCAAUAUAUGGGAUGAUUGCUUCAGAUAUAUUCCAAAAACUGUCAUGAACCAACCAGCUAGAUAGAUCAUCAUGAUUUAUAUAGAUGUCCAGAGGGCUCAUCCCAAAUCCAGUCCAGUGGGAUGGCGAUCUACCUGUUAAGCUGCUGCUUAAGCUAAGCCUAAGCCUAAGCCAACUGUAAACCACCCCAACAAGUAGCUGCAAAACAUUGACCAAGAUCUAGUUUAAUCCACGCCUGGUGUCUCUCGCCCUCUGCAGCUGAAGCAUGCGGGUGCUAAUCUAAUCUGGAACCACAUGAGGCGGAAUCAAGAGAAUCAUGGUGGCAUUAAUUGCGAGCCACCCCCACGAUUAGCGGCGCCAAGCAUGUGCCGCAACUGUCUGUCUGUCAGGGGAGGAGCUGGCCAACGGUUAUGUCCACCUGGCUUGGCCUAUUAUUAUUAUUACAAGAGUUAUUACUACUAAUUGAGGCACUGGAUUAUUUGGGGAGUGGCAUGCGUGCUCAUCAGAUAUCUUGAACUUAGUCUCCUAGCUAGGAUGAGGAAAAAUGAAUGUGGCUGAUAUCUCUAUCCGGAAUUGAGAUCAUAUCUGAAACUCCUCCAGGUAGGACGUUCAGACUGGAGCGGAACUCGUGGAAGACAAUCGUAGGCAGGCCCUUGGUGAAGAUGUCGGCAUACUGUGAACCCAAUGGCACAUGGAGCACACGCGCCUCACCCAAAGCAACUCGGUCGCGUACAAAGUGGAUAUCAAUCUCGACAUGUUUAGUCCGUUGAUGCUGAACCGGGUUGGAGGAGAGGUAGGUAGCGCUGAUAUUGUCACAGUAGACGAUGGUGGCGCGAGUGGGAGGGCAGUGGAGCUCCAUGAGAAGCUAGCGGAGCCAGGUGGACUCGGCGACACAGUUGGCGACAGCUCUGUACUCGGCCUCGGCGCUAGAUCGAGAGACAGUUGGUUGGCGUUUGGAUGACCAGGAGAUAAGAUUGUUCCUGAGAAAGACGCAGAAUCCGGAUGUGGACUUCCGCGUGCCAGAGCACCCGGUCCAAUCGGCGUUAGAGUAUGCUACAAGGUCAUGAGCCGUGGACUUGUACCGUUGGAGCCCAUAGUGAGAAGUGCCCUGAAGAUACUGGAGUAUGCGUUUGACAAGUUGGAGAUGGGCUGUGCACGGGUCAUGCAUGAAGAGACACGCCUGUUGGAUGGCGUAUGAAAUAUCCGGCCGAGUGAUGGUAAGAUAUUGGAGUGCACCAGCAAGACUCCUGUACAGGGUCGGAUCAGGAACAGGAUCACCGUGAUGAGAGGAGAUUUUGGACUUGGUGUCGACAGGUGUGGGAAUGGGGUUGCAGUUUAACAUGUGUGCGCGCUCGAGAAUCUCCGAGAUGUAUUGCUGUUGAGAAAGGAACAAGCCCGAAGGGGAGCGGGUGACAUUGACGCCAAGAAAGUGGUGAAUAUCACCGAGAUCGGUCAUGGCAAACUCGUCUUUGAGAGAAGAGAUGAUGGUGUGGAGGGUGGUGGUGGAGUUGGUGGUGAGAAUGAUAUCGUCGACAUAAACUAAGAGGUAUGCGAGGGAGGAGCCAUGCCGAAAAAUGAAUAAGGAAGUGUCACAACGCGCGGACACAAACCCAAGUGAGAGGAGAAAUGACUUGAAUCGUAAGAACCAAGUGCGAGGGGCUUGUUUUAGGCGGUAGAGGGAUUUCUUGAGGAGACACACAUGAGACAGGUUAGAGGAAUCGAUGAAACCCGCCGGUUGAGUGCAAUAGACAGUCUCACCAAUAUCACCAUGAAGGAAGGCGUUUUUUACAUCAAGUUGAUGAAUGGUCCAAGAGCGAGAAGUGGCGAGGCUGAGCACCACACGAACAGUCGCCGGUUUGACAACGGGACUGAAAGUCUCCGUGUAGUCCACACCUUCCUGUUGAGUAAAGCCCGAAGGACCCAACGUGCCUUGUACCGAGCGAGAGAGCCGUCGGUAUUGAGUUUGUGACGAAAGAUCCACUUGCCGGUCACCACAUUAACACAUGCAGGUCUAGGAACCAAACACCAAGUUUCAUUCUUUAACAAAGCAUUAAAUUCAUCAAGCAUUGCCGCCUGCCAAUGGGGAUCCUUAAGAGCGGAUUUAUAAGAGGAGGGCAGAGGGGAAAUAGGAGUGGAUGUCGUGACAGUGAACAAACGACGUGGUUGAGCGACGCCGGAUUUAGCACGCGUUCGCAUUUUGUGAGAAUUAACCGGGGGUGCAACCGGAAUGACGGGCCGACGUGGCGGAGAGGGAGUGGCAGGUGCGGAAUGCGAGGAGGAUUCGGUGGGGACCGAUUCAGAGGCGGCAGGCGAUCCAGAGGCAAGAUCUGUGCCCGAUCCGAGGCGUGCAGGGGAGUCGAGGGAGAUACGCGGGGCCCCAGCGGGGGAGGCCGACGCGGGCGGCUGGUUGGGUGACGCGUGGGAGGCGGCAGGGGAUGGGUCCACGUUGGUCGGGGAAGUGGUGGGNNNNNNNNNNNNNNNNNNNNNNNNNNNNNNNNNNNNNNNNNNNNNNNNNNNNNNNNNNNNNNNNNNNNNNNNNNNNNNNNNNNNNNNNNNNNNNNNNNNNNNNNNNNNNNNNNNNNNNNNNNNNNNNNNNNNNNNNNNNNNNNNNNNNNNNNNNNNNNNNNNNNNNNNNNNNNNNNNNNNNNNNNNNNNNNNNNNNNNNNNNNNNNNNNNNNNNNNNNNNNNNNNNNNNNNNNNNNNNNNNNNNNNNNNNNNNNNNNNNNNNNNNNNNNNNNNNNNNCGUGGGGGGCUGGUUGGGGGCGAGUCAUACGAGGUAGGUGCGCCUGGGGAGGGGGGGUUCCGAGGUAGGUGGGACGGCGAUCCCGAGGGGGGUCGUGGGCAGGGGAGGCGCAGAGGACGGAUCGGGUGUGGCGGGCGGAUCUGUGGGCGUGGGUGUGUAUGGUGUAUACAGAAAAAUAUUUUCAUCAAAAAUUACAUGACGGGACACGAUGACACGCCGCGUUUGAAGGUCAAAGCACCUAUAACCUUUGUGUUCCAAAGGAUAUCCAAGGAAGACACACCGGGUGGAUCGAGGGGCGAGUUUGUGCGGGCUAGUGGCAUAUAGAUUAGGAAAACAUAAGCAUCCGAAAACGCGUAGAUGAUCAUAGCGUGGGAGGACACCGGUGAGGAGAAAGUAGGGGGUGUGAGGUGUGGUUUUGGUAGACGGGCGCCGGUUGAUGAGGUGAGUGGCGGUGUGGAGAGCUUCAACCCAAAACGGGGAGGGGUAGAUUGGCUUGGAAGAGUAGGGUGCGGAGCACGUCAUUGGUGGUACGGAUCAUGUGUUCAGCCUUGCCGUUUUGAGGGGAGGUGUGAGGGCAAGAGAGGCGAAAAGUGACACCAUGGUUUGAAAAGAAGGUACGGAGAGAGAGGUUGAUGAAUUCACCGCCAUUAUCGCUUUGCAUGCACUUGAUGAUCGUGUUAAACUGCGUGAGAAUAUAAAGAAAGAAACGCUGGAGGGUGGGAGAGGUGUUCGAUUUCUCACGUAAUGGAAAAGACCAUGAGUAGUGGGAAUAAUCAUCAAGUACAAUGAGAUAAUAUUUGUAGCCCGAAAAGCUUACAACUGGAGAGGUCCAGAGAUCACAAUGUAUAAGUUGGAAAGGUGUUGUAGUAAAAUUAUUCGAAGAGAGAAAAGCUAAGCAAGGUUGACGACCGAGCUGGCAUGCAGUACAUGUAGAGCUAGGUGGUUUAUUACAAUCGGGAAGAAAUGUCUCGGAGAUAGCAUCUAGGGAGGCCUUGCCCGGAUGGCCGAGGCGGUGGUGAUGGAGAAGGCAGAGCCGCCGGGUCGGGUCUUACCGUAGAAGGGAUACAUGGGGCCGGGGCUACUGGACGUCAUGAUGAGUCGCCGGUUGAUACGUCUCCAACGUAUCUAUAAUUUUUUAUUGUUCCAUACUAUAUUAUAUUCUGUUUUGGACAUUAUCGGGCUUUAUUAUACACUUUUAUAUUAUUUUUGGGACUAACCUAUUAACCGGAGGCCCAGCCCAGAAUUGCUGUUUUUUGCCUAUUUCAGAGUUUCGCAGAAAAAGAAUAUCAAACGGAGUCCAAACGGAAUGAAACCUUCGGGAACGUGAUUUUCGGAACGAACGUGAUCCAGAGGACUUGGACCCUACGUCAAGACAUCAACCAGGAAGGAACGAGGUAGGGGGGCGCGCCUACCCCCCUGGGCGUGCCCUCCACCCUCGUGGGCCCCACGUUGCUCCACCGACGUACUUCUUCCUCCUAUAUAUACCUACGUACCCCCAAACUACCAGAUACGGAGCCAAAAACCUAAUUCCACCGCCGCAACCUUCUGUACCCGUGAGAUCCCAUCUUGGGGCCAUUUCUGGAGCUCCGUCGGAGGGGGCAUCGAUCACGGAGGGCUUCUACAUCAACAUCAUAGCCUCUCCGAUGAUGUGUGAGUAGUUUACCUCAGACCUUCGGGUCCAUAGUUAUUAGCUAGAUGGCUUCUUCUCUCUUUUUGGAUCUCAAUACAAUGUUCUCCCCCUCUCUCGUGGAGAUCUAUUCGAUGUAAUCUUCUUUUGCGGUGUGUUUGUUGAGACCGAUGAAUUGUGGGUUUAUGAUCAAGUUUAUCUAUGAACAAUAUUUGAAUCUUCUCUGAAUUCUUUUAUGUAUGAUUGGUUAUCUUUGCAAGUCUCUUCGAAUUAUCAGUUUGGUUUGGCCUACUAGAUUGAUCUUUCUUGCAAUAGGAGAAGUGCUUAGCUUUGGGUUUAAUCUUGCGGUGUCCUUUCCCAGUGACAGUAGGGGCAGCAAGGCACGUAUUGUAUUGUUUCCAUCAAGGAUAACAAGAUGGGGUUUAUAUCAUAUUGCAUGAGUUUAUCCCUCUACAUCAUGUCAUCUUACUUAAAGCGUUACUCUGUUCUUAUGAACUUAAUACUCUAGAUGCAUGCUGGAUAGCGGUCGAUGUGUGGAGUAAUAGUAGUAGAUGCAGGCAGGAGUCGGUCUACUUGUCUCGGACGUGAUGCCUAUAUACAUGAUCAUACCUAGAUAUUCUCAUAACUAUGCUCAAUUCUGUCAAUUGCUCAACAGUAAUUUGUUCACCCACCGUAAUACUUAUGCUCUCUAGAGAAGCCACUAGUGAAACCUAUGGCCCCCGGGUCUAUCUUCCAUCAUAUUAAUCUUCCAACACUUAGUUAUUUUUAUUGCCUUUUAUUUUACUUUGCAUCUUUAUCAUAAAAAUACCAAAAAUAUUAUCUUAUCAUAUCUAUCAGAUCUCACUCUCGUACGUGACUGUGAAGGGAUUUACAACCCCUUUAUUGCGUUGGUUGCAAGGAUUUAUUUGUUUGUGUAGGUGCGAGGGACUCGUGCGUGGCCUCCUACUGGAUUGAUACCUUGGUUCUCAAAAACUGAGGGAAAUACUUACGCUGCUUUACUGCAUCACCCUUUCCUCUUCAAGGGAAAACCAACACAGUGCUCAAGAGGUAGCAAGAAGGAUUUCUGACACCGUUGCCGGGGAGGCUUAUGCAAAGUCAAGUCAAGAUUUGCUCUCCUGACAACGAGCCAUUUCUGGCGCCAUUGCCGGGGAGUCUACGCAAAAGUCAACAUACCAAGUACCCAUCACAAACCCGUAUCUCCCGCAUUACAUUAUUUGUCAUUUGCCUCUCGUUUUCCUCUCCCCCACUUCACCCUUGCCGUUUUAUUCGCCCUCUCUUUUUCGUUCGCCUCUUUUUCGCUCGCUUCUUGUUUGCUCGUGUGUUGGAUUGCUUGCUUGUCACCAUGGCUCAAGAUAAUACUAAAUUGUGUGACUUCACCAAUACCAACAACAAUGAUUUCCUUAGCACUCCGAUUGCUCCUCUUACCGAUACUAAGUCUUGUGAAAUUAAUGUUGCUUUGUUGAAUCUUGUUAUGAAAGAUCAAUUCGCCGGCCUUCCUAGUGAAGAUGCCGCUACCCAUCUAAAUAGCUUCAUUGAUUUGUGUGAUAUGCAAAAGAAGAAAGAUGUGGACAAUGAUAUUGUUAAAUUGAAACUAUUUCCUUUUUCACUUAGAGAUCGUGCUAAAGCUUGUUUUCGUCUUUGCCUAAAAAUAGUAUUGAUUCAUGGAACAAGUGCAAAGAUGCUUUUAUCUCUAAGUAUUUUCGUCCCGCUAAAAUCAUCUCUCUUAGAAACGACAUCAUGAAUUUUAAGCAACUUGAUCAUGAACAUGUUGCACAAUCUUGGGAGAGGAUGAAAUUAAUGAUACGUAAUUGCCCUACACAUGGUUUGAAUUUGUGGAUGAUUAUACAAAAAUUUAUGCCAGAUUGAAUUUUGCUUCUAGAAAUCUUUUAGAUUCGGCCGCGGGAGGCACUUUAUGGAAAUCACUUUAGGAGAAGCUACUAAACUUCUAGAUAAUAUUAUGGUUAAUUAUUCUCAAUGGCACACUGAAAGAUCUACUAAUAAAAAAAGUGCAUGCGAUAGAAGAAAUUAAUGUUUUAAGUGGAAAGAUGGAUGAACUUAUGAAAUUAUUUGCUAAUAAAAGUGUUUCUUCUGAUCCUAAUGAUAUGCCUUUUUCUACUUUGAUUGAGAAUAAUAAUGAAUCUAUGGAUGUGAAUUUUGUUGGUAGGAAUAAUUUUGGUAACAACGCGUAUAGAGGAAACUUUAAUCCCAGGCUGUACCCUAGUAAUUCAUGUAAUAAUUAUGGUAAUUCCUACAACAAAUCUUAUGGAAAUUUUAAUAAGAUGCCCUCUGAAUUUAAGACUAGUGUUAAGUAGUUUAUGAAUUCGCAAAAGAAUUUCAAUGCUUUGCUUGAAGAAAAAUUGCUUAAAGUUGAUGAAUUGGCUAGGAACGUUGAUAGAAUUUCUCUUGAUGUUGAUUCCUUGAAACUUAGAUCUAUUCCACCUAAGCAUGAUAUCAAUGAGUCUCUCAAAGCCAUGAGAAUUUCCAUUGAUGAGUGCAAAGAAAGAACCGCUAGGAUGCGUGCUAAGAAAGAUUGUUUUGUGAAAGCGUGUUCUUCUAGUUUCCAUGAAAAUAAAGAUGAAGAUCUAAAAGUUAUUGAUGUGUCCCCUAUUAAAUCUUUGUUUUGCAAUAUGAAUCUUGAUAAUGAUGAGACUGAAUAUGAUCUACCUUUACCUAGAAGGCGUUCCAAAAAUUCGGAGUUUUUAGAUCUUGAUGCUAAAAUUGAUAAAAGUGAGAUUGAAGAAGUUAAAACUUUAGAUCUUAAUGAACCCACUAUUUUUGAUUUCAAGGAAUUUAAUUAUGAUAAUUGCUCUUUGAUAGAUUGUAUUUCCUUGUUGCAAUCCGUGCUAAAUUCUCCACAUGCUUAUAGUCAACAUAAAGCUUUUACUAAACAUAUCGUUGAUGCUUUGAUGCAAUCUUAUGAAGAAAAACUUGAGUUGGAAGUUUCUAUCCCUAGAAAACUUUAUGAUGAGUGGGAACCUACUAUUAAAAUUAAAGAUUAUGAAUGCUAUGCUUUGUGUGAUUUGGGUGCUAGUGUUUCCACGAUCCCAAAAACUUUGUGCGAUUUGCUAGGUUUCCGUGAUUUUGAUGAUUGCUCUCUAAACUUACACCUUGCGGAUUCCACCAUUAAGAAACCUAUGGGAAGAAUUAAUGAUGUUCUUAUUGUUGCAAAUAGGAAUUAUGUGCCCGUAGAUUUUAUUGUUCUUGAUAUAGAUUGCAAUCCUUCAUGUCCUAUUAUUCUUGGUAGACCUUUCCCUAGAACGAUUGGUGCAAUUAUUGAUAUGAAGGAAGGAAAUAUUAGAUUCCAAUUUCCGUUAAGGAAAGGCAUGGAACACUUCCCUAGGAAGAAAAUAAAAUUACCUUAUGAAUCUAUUAUGAGAGCCACUUAUGGAUUGCCUACCAAAGAUGGCAAUACCUAGAUCUAUCCUUGCUAUUAUGCCUAGCUAGGGGCGUUAAACGAUAGCGCUUGUUGGGAGGCAACCCAAUUUUAUUUUUAGUUUUUUUUUUGCUUUUUGCUUCUGUUUAGGAAUAAAUAUUUGAUCUAGCCUCUGGUUAGAUGUGUUUUUAUGUUUUAAUUAGUGUUUGUGCCAAGUUAAACCUAUAGGAUCUUCUUGGAUGAUAGUUAUUUGAUCUUGCUGAAAAUUCCAGAAACUUUCUGUUCACGAAAAUAAUUGUUAAAAAUCACCAGAACGUGAUAAAAUAUUGAUUCCAAUUGCUUCUGAUCAAUAAACAAAUUUUAUAGGUCUUCCUAUUUUCGCUGAACUUUUGGAGUUCCAGAAGUUUGCCUUAGUUACAUAUUACUACAGACUGUUCUGUUUUUGACAGAUUCUGUUUUUCGUGUGUUGUUUGCUUAUUUUGAUGAAUCUAUGGCUAGUAAAAUAGUUUAUAAACCAUAGAGAAGUUGUAAUACAGUAGGUUUAACACCAAUAUAAAUAAAUAAUGAGUUCAUUACAGUACCUUGAAGUGGUGUUUUGUUUUCUUUCGCUAACGGAGCUCACGAGAUUUUCUGCUGAGUUUUGUGUUGUGAAGUUUUCAAGUUUUGGGUAAAAGAUUUGAUGGAUUAUGGAAUAAGGAGUGGCAAGAGCCUAAGCUUGGGGAUGCCCAAGGCACCACAAUAUAAUCUAAGGACACCUAAAAGCCAAAGCUUGGGGAUGCCCCGGAAGGCAUCCCCUCUUUCGUCUACUUCCAUCAGUAACUUUAUUUGGAGCUAUAUUUUUAUUCAUCACAUGAUAUGUGUUUUGCUUGGAGCGUCUUGUAUUAUUUGAGUCUUUGCUUUUUAGUUUACCACAAUCAUCCUUGCUGAACACACCUUUUGAGAGAGUCACACUUGAUUCAGAAAUUUUUAGAAUACUCUAUGUGCUUCACUUAUAUCUUUUGAGCUAUAUAGUUUUGCUCUAGUGCUUCACUUAUAUCUUUUAGAGCACGGUGGUGGAUUUGUUUUAUAGAAACUAUUGAUCUCCCAUGCUUGACUUAUAUUAUUUUGAGAGUCUUAAAAUAGCAUGGCAAUUUGCUUUAAUUAUAAUAUCAUGAGAAAUUUGAUGCUCGAUAAUUGUUUUGAGAUAUAAAGGUGGUAAUAUCAUAGUUGUGCUAGUUGAGUAAUUGUGGAAUUGAAAAAUACUUGUGUUGGAGUUUGUGAUUCCCGUAGCAUGCACGUAUGGUGUACCGUUAUGUAACGAAGUCGGAGCAUGAGGUGUUUAUUGAUUGUCAUCCUUUGUGUGGCGGUCGGGAUCGCGCGAUGGUUAACUCCUACCAACCCUUCCCCUAGGAGCAUGCGUAGUAGUACUUUGUUUCGAGGGCUAAUAAAUUUUUGCAAUAAGUAUAUGAGUUCUAUAUGACUAAUGCGAGUCCAUAGAUUAUACGCACACUUACCUUUCCACAAUUUUCUAGCCUCUUCGGUACUGUGCAUUGCCCUUUCUCACCUUGAGAAUUGGUGCAAACUUCGCCGGUGCGUCCAAACCCCGUGAUAUGAUACGCUCUAUCACACAUAAACCUCCUUAUAUCUUCCUCAAAACAGCCACCAUACCUACCUAUUAUGGCAUUUCCAUAGCCAUUCCGAGAUAUAUUGCCAUGCAACUUUCCACCGUUACCAUUUAUCAUGACACGCUCCAUCAUUGUCAUAUUGCUUUGCAUGAUCAUGUAGUUGACAUUGUAUUCGUGGCAAAGCCACCAUUCAUAAUUCUUUCGUACAUGUCGCUCUUGAUUCAUCGCAUAUCCCGGUACACCGUCGGAGGCAUUCCCAUAGAGUCAUAUUUUGUUCUAAGUAUUGAGUUGUAAUUCAUGAGUUGUAAGUAAAUAAAAGUGUGAUGAUCAUCAUUAUUAGAGCAUUGUCCCAAGUGAGGAAAGGAUGAUGGAGACUAUGAUUCCCCCACAAGUCGGGAUGAGACUCCGGACUAAAUAAAAAAAGAGGCCAUAAAAAAAGAGAAAAGGCCAAAAAAAUGAGAGAAAAAGAGAGAAGGGACAAUGUUACUAUCCUUUUACCACACUUGUGCUUCAAAGUAGCACCUUGAUCUUCAUGAUAGAGAGUCUCUCAUUUUGUCACUUUCAUAUACUAGUGGAAAAUUUCAUUAUAGAACUUGGCUUGUAUAUUCCAAUGAUGGGCUUCCUCAAAUGCCCGAGGUCUCCGUGAGCAAGCAAGUUGGAUGCACGCCCACUUAGUUUCUUUUGUUUGAGCUUUCAUACACUUAUAGCUCUAGUGCAUCCGUUGCAUGGCAAUCCCUACUCCUUGCAUUAACAUCAAUUGAUGGGCAUCUCCAUAGCCCGUUGAUUAGCCCCGUUGAUGUGAGACUUUCUCCUUUUUUGUCUUCCCACAUAACCCCUACCAUUACACCUUAUUCCACCAUAGUGCUAUAUCCAUGGCUUGCGCUCAUGUAUUGCGUAAGAGUUGAAAAGGCUGAAGCGCGUUAAAAAGUAUGAACCAAUUGCUUGGCUAAAACCGGGGUUGUACAUGAUAUGAAUAUUUUGUGUGGGGAAGAUGGAGCAUAGCCAGACUAUAUGAUUUUGUAGGGAUAACUUGCUUUGGCUAUGUUAUUUGAUAAGACAUAAUUGCUUGGUUAGCAUGCUUGAAGUAUUAUUGUUUUUAUGUCAACAUUAAACUUUUAUCUUGAAUCAUAUUAAAUCUGAACAUUCGUGCCACAAUAAGAAGAAUUACAUUGAAAUUAUGCUAAGUAGCAUUCCACAUCAAAAAUUCUGUUUUUAUCAUUUACCUACUCGAAGACGAGCAGGAAUUAAGCUUGGGGAUGCUUGAUACGUCUCCAACGUAUCUAUAAUUUUUUAUUGUUCCAUGCUAUAUUAUAUUCUGUUUUGGACAUUAUCGGGCUUUAUUAUACACUUUUAUAUUAUUUUUGGGACUAACCUAUUAACCGGAGGCCCAGCCCAGAAUUUUUGUUUUUUGCCUAUUUCACAGUUUCGCAGAAAAAGAAUAUCAAACGGAGUCCAAACGGAAUGAAACCUUCGAGAACGUGAUUUUCGGAACGAACGUGAUCCAGAGGACUUGGACCCUACGUCAAGACAUCAACCAGGAAGGCACGAGGUAGGGGGCGCGCCUACCCCCCUGGGCGCGCCCUCCACCCUCGUGGGCCCCACGUUGCUCCACCGACGUACUUCUUCCUCCUAUAUAUACCUACGUACCCCCAAACUACCAGAUACGGAGCCAAAAACCUAAUUCCAUCGCCGCAACCUUCUGUACCCGUGAGAUCCCAUCUUGGGGCCAUUUUCGGAGCUCCGCUGGAGGGGGCAUCGAUCACGGAGGGCUUCUACAUCAACACCAUAGCCUCUCCGAUGAUGUGUGAGUAGUUUACCUCAAACCUUCGGGUCCAUAGUUAUUAGAUAGAUGGCUUCUUCUCUCUUUUUGGAUCUCAAUACAAUGUUCUCCCCCUCUCUCGUGGAGAUCUAUUCGAUGUAAUCUUCUUUUGCGGUGUGUUUGUUGAGACCGAUGAAUUGUGGGUUUAUGAUCAAGUUUAUCUAUGAACAAUAUUUGAAUCUUCUCUGGAUUCUUUUAUGUAUGAUUGGUUAUCUUUGCAAGUCUCUUCGAAUUAUCGGUUUGGUUUGGCCUACUAGAUUGAUCUUUCUUGCAAUAGGAGAAGUGCUUAGCUUUGGGUUUAAUCUUGCGGUGUCCUUUCCCAGUGACAGUAGGGGCAGCAAGGCACGUAUUGUAUUGUUGCCAUCGAGGAUAACAAGAUAGGGUUUAUAUCAUAUUGCAUGAGUUUAUCCCUCUACAUCAUGUCAUCUUACUUAAAGCGUUACUCUGUUCUUAUGAACUUAAUACUCUAGAUGCAUGUUGGAUAGCGGUCAAUGUGUGGAGUAAUAGUAGUAGAUGCAGGCAGGAGUCGGUCUACUUGUCUCGGACGUGAUGCCUAUAUACAUGAUCAUACCUAGAUAUUCUCAUAACUAUGCUAAAUUCUGUCAAUUGCUCAACAGUAAUUUGUUCACCCACCGUAAUACUUAUGCUCUCUAGAGAAGCCACUAGUGAAACCUAUGGCCCCCGGGUCUAUCUUCCAUCAUAUUAAUCUUCCAACACUUGGUUAUUUUUAUUGCCUUUUAUUUUACUUUGCAUCUUUAUCAUAAAAAUACCAAGAAUAUUAUCUUAUCAUAUCUAUCAGAUCUCACUCUCAUAAGUGACCGUGAAGGGAUUGACAACCCUUUUAUUGCGUUGGUUGUGAGGAUUUAUUUGUUUAUGUAGGUGCGAGGGACUCGUGCGUGGCCUCCUACUGGAUUGAUACCUUGGUUCUCAAAAACUGAGGGAAAUACUUACGCUGCUUUACUGCAUCACCCUUUCCUCUUCAAGGGAAAACCAACGCAGUGCUCAAGAGGUAGCACUGGUGGGGAAGAUCCUUCACGCAGAAACCAGAAGGAGUGAGUUCAACAGUAACAUUAUUAUCAGUGGAAAGCUUGCGAACCGAGAUGAGAUCAGAGACUAUGUUAGGGCAAACGGCGACAUCAUGUAAGGCAAGAUUUGUGGGGGGAGGGUUGUGGAUCCAGUGCCGAUAAUAGGUAAGCGAGCCCCAUUGCCAACAGUCACGCUAGAUGAAAAAUGCUCGGGAAAAGGACGAAACGAGGUGAGAUUACCAAAGUUGCCGGUGAUUUGAGUGGAGGCACCGGGGUCGAGGAUCCAGUCAGCUCCCGGGGCGGUGAGGCCGUGCUGGCUGUAGGCGUUGGAGAAGAGGGCGGCCUGAUCCCAAGCAGGAGCACCGAGCGGGUAGGGCUGAGGCAGUGGCGGCGGCUGGUGCUAGGAAGACACGCCUGUGUGCAUCACUGGGUAGGCCUGGUUGUGGACGCCGGGGCGAGGGCCGAGCACGCCAGCCGCAUUGGGGGGAACCCAGCCAGCGCGGGGAGCGGGCAGGGCCAUCCCGUACGGGGCGAAGUACCCCGUCCAUGCCGCGGGCUAUUGCUGCUGAAGAUGCCCGCGACCACCGUUGUCGGGGCGGCCACGCCCUCGACCGCCAGAGCGGCCGCGACCCCGGCCGCGGUCAGAACCGCCAGUGGCAGGGCCUCGAGCCCCGCCGGUGCCGCCGGAUCCGCCGGAGCCGCCAUGCCCCGAGGGAGGCGCCCGAUCGCCGCGGUCACCGCGGUCGUUGGAGGAGCCAAAGCCUGUGGUGAUGGUGAGGGCCGCCGAGCCUGCCUCAGCCGCACGCAGAUUGAUGUUGUACUCCGCGAGAUCGACCCGAGAGCGAGCGAUGUCAAACAGGGGAAGGGGAACCGUUUCGCCCAAGAUAGUGCGGAUGGUGUCGAAGCGGCUGUCGAGGCCAUGAAGGAACUGCAUGGUGAGAUCUGGCCCAUAGACCGGGUUGUCGGUGUCGGCGAGGCCAUCGGCAAGGCUCUUGAGACGACGGGCGUAAUCAGAGACGGUGAGAUCCCCUUGUUUAAGGUUGCGGUACUGGCGGGUGAGGUGGAGGCAGAGGGCGCCUUGGUUCGCGAGGAAAUAGUCGCGGAUGCGCUUCCACGCCAUGUAGGCGUUGGUGGCGCCGCCCAUGAUGAGCUCGAGAAGGGAGUCGGCCAGAGUGAAAUAGAUCCAGAGAAUGAGGCGGUUAUCGACGGCGAGCCAUGAUGCGUCAGGAUUGGGAUGUGGUGGCUGGAGGACAUGGUCCUGGACGCGGUACUGCAUCAGAACACAGGAGAAGAAGGUACGCCACUUGACGUAGUUGUGCUCGGCAGGAUCGAGUUUGAAACGGAUGUGGUUGGAGAUGUGAUCGUUGUGGAAUUGAUGAAGGAGAGGAUCCGCCGGUGUGGUAGCCGCGAGAGGGACGACGGGCAUGGGAGCGGAAGGGGCGGCAGUGGUGGAAGGGAGGAGAGGAGGAGAGGUCCCGGGAGUCGAGGACGGAGGAGGGGACGAGCCGGCGGCGACGUCAGCGGAGGGGAGGUCGCCGAAGAUGUCCUCGAAGCCCAUGGCGAUUGAUGCCAAGCUAGAGGGAGAGGGGGUCGCAGUGUACUGUUGUAUUGAGUGAGUUACGGAGGAGGUACACAUAUAGGGCGAUCCCCAACUGCUCCCGUCAGAAUAGGCACGCAGGCCAUGACUGGGUGCGAUCGCAUAAGAUCCUACAAUCUAGAGUUACAAUACAACAGAAGUACAUACAAUAUGAAUACAUGUACAGCUCGUUAACAGAGACAGGGAGAUCCCCUUUCACCUUUCCUUUUUAACAUAACUGCCAACUGCUUGCAGCAAAUGAUUCAGUUAGCCCAGACAAGUGGUCAGAUUGUGGGCCUGAUACUCCACCUGAUUGAUAAGGGAGUUGUCAUUUUGCAAUAUGUUGAUGAUACUAUCUUGUUCAUAUAGGGUGAUCUGGACAGUGCUAGGAACCUCAAAUUGUUGUUGUGUUUCAUUGAACGGAUGUCGGGUUUGAAAAUCAGUUUUCAAAAAAGUGGGGUCCUGAUGGUGCUACAGGAUGAUGAUAAAAGGCGAGUUAUGAUGCCCAAUUUCAGUUCAAAUUAGGUGCCUGGCCUAUCAAAUAUUUACAUGUUGUUGGCUGGAUUCAUGCUGAAAAGAAUAUUGUGGAGAGCUGGAAACCUGUCCCUUGGUGGCAAGGUGACUAAAAUCAAAGCUUGUUUAACCAGUAUUCCAAUUUACCAUUUCUUCAUGUAAAGGCAUGUUAUUUGUCCACCCUUUCUAAUAGAAGGGUUUUUUGGCAAGAGAAAAGCAAUAAGAGCAAAUGUCACUGGGUGAGAAGGCAUGUUAUUUGUAGGCAAAAGAAGAAAGGAGGGCUGGGUAUCCACAAUUUAGAGAAAUUCAAUGUCAGUCUCAUGUGUAAAUGGUGGUGGAAUCUGGAGAAUAAAGAAGUUAUGUGGCAGAAUGUAGUUAAAAAGAAAUAUGAGUUACAAUUGCUAAUGAUUCUCCAUGCUGGGUUGAUUUGAUGAAACUAAAACACAUCUAUAUAAAAGGUAGAAUUAUGACACCACUUCAUCCAUCCGGCUUUGAUUCGAUGGUUCACAUCUUCAUCAAUACCCCCAUCCUCCUGCAGCAUUGACCCCAAAUACCGAAAGGUGUCCUUCUAAGGUACCACCUGGCCAUCAAGGCUAACCUCCUCCUCCUCACACCUAGUAGUACUGAAACCGCACAUCAUGUACUCGGUUUUAGUCCUACUAAGCCUAAACCCUUUCGAUUCCAAGGUUUGUCUCCAUAACUAUGGAGAUAUUCAAAGAAUUACAACUUGAGGUAUGGGAUCUGACAGAGUUAGCCGAUGGUCACCAUUCUAUCAUCCCAAGCACCGUUCACAGCGAUAAAACAAUACUCCACUUAGACGUAAAGCAAUCUGAUCAAAAUUUAGAAGAGCACACAAAUCAGAACAUUUGACAACUGCCAAAGGAGAUAAACAUGUUCGACCUUCCUUACGAUAACUUCAAAAUCUGGAACAAAAUCUGGAACAGGAUUAGUUCAGGGUUCAAAGGGUGCUGCUCCACCACUAGACUGACAGUCGGUAUAUCAGGCGCUACAUUUGACAACGAUAAGAACACUGGAUUCCAGACACCAAAGACAAUUUUCCUGACCAUAUGCUCACUUGAGAGGAAUGAACCUCGACGAGUGGGUGGCACCGAUACCGG